GACGAACGCUGGCGGCGUGCCUAAUACAUGCAAGUUGAGCGCUGAAGGUUGGUACUUGUACCGACUGGAUGAGCAGCGAACGGGUGAGUAACGCGUGGGGAAUCUGCCUUUGAGCGGGGGACAACAUUUGGAAACGAAUGCUAAUACCGCAUAAAAUCUUUAAACACAAGUUUUAAGUUUGAAAGAUGCAAUUGCAUCACUCAAAGAUGAUCCCGCGUUGUAUUAGCUAGUUGGUGAGGUAAAGGCUCACCAAGGCGAUGAUACAUAGCCGACCUGAGAGGGUGAUCGGCCACAUUGGGACUGAGACACGGCCCAAACUCCUACGGGAGGCAGCAGUAGGGAAUCUUCGGCAAUAGACGAAAGUCUGACCGAGCAACGCCGCGUGAGUGAAGAAGGGUUUCGGAUCGUAAAACUCUGUUGGUAGAGAAGAACGUUGGUGAGAGUGGAAAGCUCAUCAAGUGACGGUAACUACCCAGAAAGGGACGGCUAACUACGUG
Molecule: ribosomal RNA, 497 nt
Filed under: uncultured bacterium
Lineage: Bacteria
Description: partial 16S ribosomal RNA
Rfam family: Bacterial small subunit ribosomal RNA
Source: RNAcentral